GAUGAACGCUGGCGGCGUGCCUAAUACAUGCAAGUCGAGCGAACAGACGAGGAGCUUGCUCCUCUGACGUUAGCGGCGGACGGGUGAGUAACACGUGGAUAACCUACCUAUAAGACUGGGAUAACUUCGGGAAACCGGAGAUAAUACCGGAUAAUAUAUUGAACCGCAUGGUUCAAUAGUGAAAGACGGUUUUGCUGUCACUUUUAGAUGGAUCCGCGCCGCAUUAGCUAGUUGGUAAGGUAACGGCUUACCAAGGCAACGAUGCGUAGCCGACCUGAGAGGAUGAUCGGCCACACUGGAACUGAGACACGGUCCAGACUCCUACGGGAGGCAGCAGUGGGGAAUCUUCCGCAAUGGGCGAAAGCCUGACGGAGCAACGCCGCGUGAGUGAUGAAGGUCUUCGGAUCGUAAAACUCUGUUAUUAGGGAAGAACAAAUGUGUAAGUAACUAUGCACGUCUUGACGGUACCUAAUCAGAAAGCCACGGCUAACUACGUG
Molecule: ribosomal RNA, 497 nt
Filed under: uncultured bacterium
Lineage: Bacteria
Description: partial 16S ribosomal RNA
Rfam family: Bacterial small subunit ribosomal RNA
Source: RNAcentral